Molecule: ribosomal RNA, 481 nt
Filed under: uncultured bacterium
Lineage: Bacteria
Description: partial 16S ribosomal RNA
Rfam family: Bacterial small subunit ribosomal RNA
Source: RNAcentral
GAUGAACGCUGGCGGCGUGCCUAACACAUGCAAGUCGAACGGAGAUUACGGACGGAAGUUUUCGGAUGGAAGACUGUAAUUCUUAGUGGCGGACGGGUGAGUAACGCGUGGGCAACCUGCGCUAUACAGGGGGAUAGCAGCUGGAAACGGCUGGUAAGACCGCAUAAGUCGGUUAAAUCGCAUGAUUUGAUCGGGAAAUGAGCAAUCAGGUAUAGGAUGGGCCCGCGUCCGAUUAGCCAGUUGGCAGGGUAAAAGCCUACCAAAGCGACGAUCGGUAGCCGGACUGAGAGGUCGGACGGCCACAUUGGGACUGAGACACGGCCCAAACUCCUACGGGAGGCAGCAGUGGGGGAUAUUGCACAAUGGAGGAUACUCUGAUGCAGCGACGCCGCGUGAGUGAAGAAGUAUUUCGGUAUGUAAAGCUCUAUCAGCAGGGAAGAUGAUGACGGUACCUGACUAAGAAGCCCCGGCUAACUACGUG